RNAcentral lists this ribosomal RNA (206 nucleotides) under uncultured bacterium. RNAcentral describes it as "partial 16S ribosomal RNA". It matches the Rfam family "Bacterial small subunit ribosomal RNA", at positions 1295 to 1500 of the family's 1533-position model. The record is from RNAcentral.
GGAUUGUAGUCUGCAACUCGACUACAUGAAGCUGGAAUCGCUAGUAAUCGCAGAUCAGAAUGCUGCGGUGAAUACGUUCCCGGGUCUUGUACACACCGCCCGUCACACCAUGGGAGUCGGAAAUGCCCGAAGCCGGUGACCCAACCAAAAGGAGGGAGCCGUCGAAGGCAGGUCUGAUAACUGGGGUGAAGUCGUAACAAGGUAUC